This 78-nucleotide transfer RNA is filed under the name Xanthomonas sp. GW. RNAcentral's name for it is "tRNA-Leu". Lineage: Bacteria; Pseudomonadati; Pseudomonadota; Gammaproteobacteria; Lysobacterales; Lysobacteraceae. RNAcentral also lists the same sequence under 1 other name. The record is from RNAcentral.
CGCAGCGCCUUGCGCAGGUCCCAGCCGCUGACGUCCAGGUCGUCGGCGAUCGGCAGUUCGAUCACGUCGCGCUGCGGC